GCCCUUCAACAAAGGGGGCACAUGCAGAUGAGACUCCGUCCACCCCAGGCAGCUUUCCUGAGCCCUGGAGGACAGGCUUGAAAUGACUCCUAGGCUUCUGGUGACCCUUGUCACCUAUCUGCCCAGAAUACUCAGUACCUCUCAAUGACCCUCAGACGCUGUAGGAAGAGGAUUGGUUCACCUUUUAACCCAGAAUUUCUCACAUUGAAUGGACAGGAUGCAUUCCAAGAGGCCAGAGUAUGUGCAUCUCAGCUCCUGAUGGUUUCCACCACCACCAUUACUUUCUCUAUGUCAAGAUACCUG
RNAcentral lists this long non-coding RNA (303 nucleotides) under Homo sapiens (human). RNAcentral describes it as "HSALNT0308793". The record is from RNAcentral. Lineage: Eukaryota; Metazoa; Chordata; Mammalia; Primates; Hominidae.